AUUUUUGAUUAGCUGUUACAGGAAUGGUCUCCUUUUUUUGAGACAGGAUCUUGCUAAGUUAGGGCCUUAGGGCCUUACUAAAUUGCUGAGGCUGGCUUUCAACUUUCUAUCCUUCUGCCUUAGUCUGCUGAACCACUGGGAUUACAAGUGUACACCACUGUGCCCAGCUGAAUGGUAUCUUUUAUACAAAAAUUUGAAUAAUAAAUAGCUGAUAUGAGUUUGGCUGGUUCUUUUUUUGUCAGUAACAUAAUAUGAAAUUGUUGGAUGGUAUGUAUAUUUGUCCUCAUACUAAGAAAGCUAAUGUAUCAGAAUGUAAAUUUUUUAUGCAGAUAUAUUUUGUGGAUAAUAUAUUUCAGAAGUAAACUGACCUCCAUAAGAGGAUAAGCAGCUUCCAGUUAGGUGUUUACAUACUUUUACUUAAGUAAAGGGAGUUAGACACAGUUGAAUUUUUUUUUUUUUUCAUGUUUUUUUUUUUUAAUUUUUUUUAUUGGUUGUUCAAAACAUUAUAAAGCUCUUGACAUAUCAUAUUUCAUACAUUAGAUUCAAGUUGGUUAUGAACUCCCAAUUUUACCCCAAAUACAGAUUGCAGAAUCACAUCGGUUACACAUCCACAUUUUUACAUAAUGCCCUAUUAGUAACUGUUGUAUUCUGCUACCUUUCCUAUCCUCUACCAUCCCCCCUCCCUCCCCUCCCAUCUUCUCUCUCUACCCCAUCCACUGUAAUUCAUAUCUCUCCUUGUUUAUUUUCCCAUUCCCCUCACAACCUCUUAUAUGUAAUUUUGUAUAACAAUGAGGGUCUCCCUCCAUUACCAUGCAAUUUCCCUUUUCUCUCCCUUUCCAUCCCACCUCAUGUAUCUGUUUAAUGUUAAUCUUUUCUUCCUGCUCUUCCUCCCUGCUCUGUUCUUAGUUGCUCUCAUUAUAUCAAAGAAGACAUUUGGUAUUUGUUUUUUAGGGAUUGGCUAGCUUCACUAAGCAUAAUCUGCUCUAGUGCCAUCCAUUUCCCUGCAAAUUCUAUGAUUUUGUCAUUUUUUAGUGCUGCGUAAUACUCCAUGGUGUAUAAAUGCCACAUUUUUUUUAUCCAUUCAUCUAUUGAAGGGCAUCUGGGUUGGUUCCACAGUCUAGCAAUUGUGAAUUGUGCUGCUAUGAACAUCGAUGUAGCAGUAUCCCUGUAGUACGCUCUUUUAAGGUCUUCAGGGAAAAGUCCAAGAAGGGCAAUAGCUGGGUCAAAUGGUGGUUCCAUUCCCAGCUUUCCCAGGAGUCUCCAUACUGUUUUCCAGAUUGGCCGCACCAGUUUGCAGUCCCACCAGCAAUGUACAAGAGUACCCUUUUCCCCACAUCCUCUCCAGCACUUGUUGUUGUUUGACUUCAUAAUGGCUGCCAAUCUUACUGGAGUGAGAUGGUAUCUUAGGGUGGUUUUGAUUUGCAUUUCUCUGACUGCUAGAGAUGGUGAGCAUUUUUUCAUGUACUUGUUGAUUGAUUGUAUGUCCUCCUCUGAGAAGUGUCUGUUCAGGUCUUUGGCCCAUUUGUUGAUUGGGUUAUUUGUUUUCUUAUUGUUUAAUUUUUUGAGUUCUUUGUAUACUCUGGAUAUUAGGGCUCUAUCUGAAGUGUGAGGAGUAAAAAUUUGUUCCCAUGAUGUAGGCUCCCUAUUUACCUCUUUUAUUGUUUCUCUUGCUGAGAGAAAACUUUUCAGUUUAAGUAAGUCCCAUUUGUUGAUUUUUGUUAUCAACUUUUGUGCUAUGGGUGUCCUAUUAAGGAAUUUGGAGCCCGACCCUACAAUAUGUAGAUCGGAGCCAACUUUUUCUUCUAUCAGACGCAGAGUCUCUGAUUUGAUAUCUAGCUCCUUGAUCCACUUUGAGUUAACUUUUGUGCAUGGCGAGAGGAGGGGAUUCAGUUUCAUUUUGUUGCAUAUGGAUUUCCAGUUUUCCCAGCACCAUUUGUUGAAGAUGCUAUCCUCCCUCCAUUGCAUGCUUUUAGCUCCUUUAUCAAAUAUAAGAUAGUUGUAGCUUUGUGGAUUAGUCUCUGUGUCCUCUAUUCUGUACCAUUGGUCCACCCUCCUGUUUUGGUACCAGUACCAUGCUGUUUUUGUUACUAUUGCUCUGUAAUAUAGUUUUAAGUCUGGUAUCGCUAUACCGCCUGAUUCACACUUCCUGCUUAGAAUUGCUUUUGCUAUUCUGGGUCUUUUAUUUUUCCAUAUGAAUUUCAUGAUUGCUUUAUCCAUUUCUACAAGAAAUGCCGUUGGGAUUUUGAUUGGCAUUGCAUUAAACCUAUAGAGAACUUUUGGUAAUAUCGCCAUUUUGAUGAUGUUAGUUCUGCCUAUCCAUGAACAGGGUAUAUUUUUCCAUCUUCUAAGAUCUUCUUCUACUUCUCUUUUUAGGGUUUUGUAGUUUUCAUUAUAUAAAUCUUUCACCUCUUUUGUUAGGUUGAUUCCCAAGUAUUUUAUUUUUUUUGAGGAUAUUGUGAAUGGAGUGUUUUUCCUCAUUUCCGUUUCAGAAGUUUUGUCGCUGAUAUACAGAAAUGCCUUUGAUUUAUGCGUGUUGAUUUUAUAUCCUGCCACUUUGCUGAAUUCAUUUAUUAGUUCUAGUAGUUUUUUUGUAGACCCUUUUGGGUCUUCUAGGUAUAGAAUCAUGUCAUCUGCAAAUAGUGAUAAUUUAAGUUCUUCCUUUCCUAUUUUUAUGCCUUUAAUUUCUUUCGUCUGUCUAAUUGCUCUGGCCAGUGUUUCGAGAACUAUAUUGAAUAGAAGUGGUGAUAGAGGGCAUCCCUGUCUUGUUCCAGAUUUUAGGGGGAAUGCCUUCAAUUUUUCUCCAUUGAGAAUGAUGCUAGCCUGAGGCUUAGCAUAGAUAGCUUUUACAAUGUCGAGGUAAGUUCCUGUUAUCCCUAGUUUUUCUAAUGUUUUGAACAUAAAGGGAUGCUGUACUUUGUCGAAUGCUUUUUCUGCGUCUAUUGAGAUGAUCAUAUGGUUCUUAUUUUUAAGUCUAUUGAUGUGGUGAAUAACAUUUAUUGAUUUCCGUAUAUUGAACCAUCCUUGCAUCCCAGGGAUGAAUCCUACUUGAUCAUGGUGCACAAUUUUUUUGAUGUGCCNGCCUUCCCACCCAUCCAUCACAAGUGUGGAGUCACUGAUCCAUAUUUACAGGCAUAUUUCUAUGGAAGUUCAGUUGACAGGUUUAUUAUUUAUUUUACAAUUUCAUUUUUGUACACCUUUCAGAUUUUUGAAUGCUUUUUUUUUGUAAAAUUCAUUUUAACUUGAAAGUAUACUUAUAAUCUCCCCUAUUUAAUUAGUAGACCGUAUGUUCAUACACACUAUUAAAUAUUAAUAGUGCAUUGGCAUACUUAUAAGAAUUUCAUAUUUGAAUCCAUAGUGGGUAUAAAAAAAAAAGAAAGAAAGAAAAUCCAUCUCUGCCAACAUCCAUUUUUUUCUGCUGAUUGAAGAGAAGAUAUUUGACAGUUUACCUACUUCCUACAGAUUCAUCUAAACCCAGAUAUUGCUGAGAAGAGUAUAUGGACAUGGAGUAUAUGUCUGUUUUUAGUUCUGCUUUAAAUCAUAACUGUGUAACAAAUAUUGUCAUGAUCUGUUAUACUAAAAUUUGUCAGCCAAAUGUUAGAUGAAAUGUCUGCACUGUAGUCUCUGAUCACUGUCACAUAUAUAAUUGCUUUUUUCAUUUUGAUUUGUAGAAGAGCUUUAUGGUAGAAAACACCAGUAAACAACUUUUAUACUAUUAAAAGGCUUUUUCCCCUUUCUAAAUGUUUUAAAUGUACCCUAGUAUUUUGCCCACUGAAGAAGCUUUUUAUGGACCUUGCAACUUUGUUGCUAGCUUGAGGUUGAUUAUUGUGGUUCUAUUGUUCACUGUGUGUAGAACUAGUAUGAGUACAAUUUAAAUAGAAUGUUCAGUUUUUAAUAUUAGCCAUAGCACUGGUUAGUAUCUCAGUAGUUUCAUGAAACGUUUCCUGUAUUCUAAUCUAUUUUGAGAAAUUUUGUGGGUUUUUUUUUUAAUUGUGUCUUACAGUUCAAGUUUAUAGAUUUUAAUAAGCAACAGUUUUUAAAGAUGCAAUAAUCUUCCAACUAGUAUUUAUCCAUCUUUCAUGAACUCACAAACUGCAUCUUUAAAUCCAUAAGUAAGAUUCCUUAAUCAUACUUUUCUGCUCUUUCAAGCUUAGUGAUGAGGAAGCACAAAAAUUUCAGUAGAAAACAGUUUUUAUUUUGUAAACACUAAUGUAUUAAACUUGCUAUACAUUAAAGCAAAUAAUAUAUAUUUUUAUUUGAAUUGUAUAUAUGAAUUGGAUGUUAUAACUAGUUGAUUUUUUUUUUCAUUGUGUUAGAGGUAUUUUCACUGAACAAGGUCAAUUGGUUACCUCAAUAUUACAGCCAAUAUAGUCCAAGGGACCAUUUUUCCCCUGAGUCUGUGUUAUAUUUUAUUGUGUGAAGUCUGCAUUUUUGUGACUCUUAAAGCUGUUGGUGAGGUGGGAUGAGUGCACUUGUUUCCUGUGGCAAUAAAGAUUUUGUUUGCCUCACAUUUAUGUCCAUAGCACUUUGUGCAUAGCACUUGCCACAGUGGGUACUGUUAGCCUGCUGUACCUCCCUUAUCUGAUUAUUUGGGCUGGGCUUGGGUGUCACAGGACAGGAGCUUAAGUCUUUAAGUUGUAACUAAAUGAGAUGCCAGUUUCCUUCGUUUCUAAAAGAUUAUUUGGGAAAUGGUUGUAGGUUGAUUCUGGUCUAUCAGAGAGAGAUGUUAGUUUAUAUUGUUCUCACUCAUAAGAAGCUUAUAAAGACAUUUUUAAUAGUCUUCACCAUUUUGAACCAACUAAACUAAUAAAUAGGAGAAACAUUAGGAUUUGACAUUUAUAAUAUAUGUUUGUAAAUGUUAAUCUGAUUUGGCCUCAGUGUUACAGGCUAAGUAUGUGAAAUUGUACUAACCUGUAGUAAAGAAGUUUUAAUUGACAAGUUUUGAAGAUGAAUCUUGAGCGAAGAGCUUCAAGGUGACAAGCACUAUGCCAGGUAUUAGGAUAGGGAUGAAGACCACAAAAUAAAUAUAAGAUUCAAUCCUUGCCCUUUGUGAACUCAUAACCUAGUUGGAUGGAAACUAACACCACUCAUAAAAACUACAAAUUUUAAUGUUACAAAAUUGGGAAUAAGGAGCUGACAUCUAAGUGCAUUUUGUGUUAUGUAGUCAUUAUGGUAGUACACAUUUUAUAGGAGAAAGUAUUUCAUGAAUGAGAUGUAGAAGAGACCAGCCAGGACUAAAACGGUUAAUGUUAAGAGGUGAGAUUUGAUACAAAGUCACAGUGGUAAUAUGUUUCAUUUGGAGGCUCUCUUUGUUGUUAAAAAAUAAAAAAUAAAACGAAACAUGCUCUUUUCCUCCUGUCCUUAAUAAAAUUACUUGGGUAAAAGCCUUACCAUUUGGUGAAUAUGAGGUCCCUAGCUCCUAUGUCCUUUUAUAAUUAUAAUUGACAGUAUUAAAGAUUAAAACCUAAAUAGCUGGAUGGUAACUUUAGUUAACAUGCUCCACUCGGCUAUUCAAGUGGUUAAGUAUUAUUAACAACACCCGUUUUCUUAUGACUUGACUUAGUACUGCAUUGAGUCUUCAAAAGAAAAUCUGCCAAGGUAUUAACAUAAUAAAACCAGGAGGUCUGUCUCUUAGGAAGUGAAAUCAAAUACUAAAUAGCUGAAGUUAGAAUUGAGUAAACAUUUUGUGUUUGUAUCAACUUAAAGGAUAUAACCAAAUAUGAUAGCUGAUAUUUAACUGAAAACCACCUUAUGUUCUUAAUCUCAAAAAACCUUGAUGCUUAACUAUUCAUGACUGAGAUGAUUCUUAUUUCCCAUAGAAGUUAUGUUAGAGGUAGGAUUUUUCUUCCUUUCCAAGUUUGCAGUGGUUAAAUAUUUACAAUUUCUUUAGCUUUGCUUUCUACCAACUUAUGGAAAUAGAAGAAGAAAAAAAUUACCUCGAAGGUGUUUUUGCUUUUGGUGCAAAAAAUGCUAAUCAGAAAUUUGUUUUUAAAACUUCUAGUUAACUUAUUAAAGUUAGAAUCCCAAAACUUUCUGUGUGUAUAGUUUUAAGUUCAACCUAGAAAUCUUUGUAAGUUUAGCAAAUUUUAACAAUCAUUUUAAAAAGAACUAUGAAAAUAAUGGCUUCCAUUAUAAAAUUGGUUUGUUAAGCUCCUGAAUUAUUCUUUCAUGUUCUUCUCAUCUGUUA
This 6184-nucleotide long non-coding RNA is filed under the name Marmota monax (woodchuck). Lineage: Eukaryota; Metazoa; Chordata; Mammalia; Rodentia; Sciuridae. The record is from RNAcentral.